This 301-nucleotide ribosomal RNA is filed under the name uncultured bacterium. RNAcentral's name for it is "partial 16S ribosomal RNA". It matches the Rfam family "Bacterial small subunit ribosomal RNA", at positions 509 to 807 of the family's 1533-position model. The record is from RNAcentral.
CAGUAGCCGCGGUAAAACAGAGGGUGCGAGCGUUAAUCGGAUUUACUGGGCGUAAAGCGUGCGUAGGCGGCUUCUUAAGUCGGAUGUGAAAUCCCUGAGCUUAACUUAGGAAUUGCAUUCGAUACUGGGAAGCUAGAGUAUGGGAGAGGAUGGUAGAAUUCCAGGUGUAGCGGUGAAAUGCGUAGAGAUCUGGAGGAAUACCGAUGGCGAAGGCAGCCAUCUGGCCUAAUACUGACGCUGAGGUACGAAAGCAUGGGGAGCAAACAGGGUUAGAUACCCGUGUAGUCCCUGUCUCUUAUAC